RNAcentral lists this ribosomal RNA (2403 nucleotides) under Triticum aestivum (bread wheat). Its description in RNAcentral is "partial small subunit ribosomal RNA". The record is from RNAcentral. Lineage: Eukaryota; Viridiplantae; Streptophyta; Magnoliopsida; Poales; Poaceae.
AUGUCGUCCGCAGGCCUAGCUGAAGCUUCAAUCCUGGCUACAUUGAAAAAGCUCUUCAAGACUGAUAGCGUCACUGGCGUUGCCAGCGUGGAGCUGUGGGUGUUGCUGACAACGCUGCUGCUGGUGGUGAGGUUCGUGCUGGAUUGCUUCGGGCCGUGGCACGCGGAAAGGUCUAUGGCAGCCACUGUCCGAAUCAUCGAGAUGCUGAAUUACUCCAUGGUGCACUACACCUUGGGGCUGAUGCAGCUCUCGGCGAAGAAGGUGAAUGACUACUUUCAGGUCUGGGCGGUGCUGCUGGUAACCCUGCAGUACAGCGUCAAGACUGGGCGCCCCUACCGGAUGUCCAAGCAGAUCCCGGUGCUGGAUCUCAUGUCCUCUUUCUGGGCAGCCAAUCUCAUCCGGAUACAGACCUUCUUCCUUCUCAGGAUUCCCCUCUGGUUGAUCUGGGCGCUCAAUGCGAUACGCAUCAUCUCAUACUUUGCUUCAUCUGAUAGGGCUGCGACCAUCAACCAAGAGAAUACAAGGCUGGUUAGCGACUAUAUGCGAUACGAGCACACACUCGGUCCCUCUGGCGAUGCAGCCGAUUCUGACAAUGGGAUCAGGAUGCAGUCGUACAAGUACCUGGUCUCUGGGGAAGACCUGGUGCUACAUGAUGCCCAACGGGAGAGGAAAUCUGCAUCAGCACAAUACAAGAUUUGGUUGGAUCCGGAUAACAAGAAGCUUGUCACCGUAGAGAAGAUAUGGAAUGUUGAUUCUGGCAGCAGUCGGUUGCUGGGCGGUACCAAUGACACUGGCAACCGACUGAAGGAUGUCUGCCUCUCACUCGUACUGUACAAGCUGCUGCGCCGUCGGUUCUAUAAUCUCCCGAUACACGAGGCUAGCCAUGAGAAGACAAGGCGGCUCGUCUUCGACUACAUCCUGCAGGAGAACUCCAACAACUAUGAGAGGGCAUUCCGUGUCACAGAGGUGGAGUUGUCCUUCCUCCAAGACUUGUUCUAUAGCAAGUAUGCUGCCAUGUUUGCGGUUGGAUUCCCGGUCUUGAGUAUGCUCAUGUCUCUGUCUCUGGUUGGGGCUACUGGAUACCUUGCAUUUCCCGUCAGUUAUAUACCAGAGAGGAUGGACAAGGCCGACAAUAAUAUCAUCACUCAUGGGGUGGCUGUCACUCGCGUCAUAGUUGGCCUUAUAGUUGCCAAGGAGCUGUCAGAGGUCUAUCUAUAUGUGUUCUCCAAUUGGUCUAAGGUCCUGAUGAUUUGUAUGUAUGUCAAGCAUCGGUGCUUGCGGCAUCCAGUUGUGGAGGCAGCAAUGAGAACAGUUUUCUGGCCCAUUGGGGGUAAGUGGAACCAGAAGAUCUCACAGUGCAACCUUCUGAUUUCUUAUUCACGCAAUAAGCAGAAAUUAACCCAAAGGAUCAAGUUGGAGUCACAAGUAAAGACAGCGAUAUUUCAGUCAUUCAAGGGCCUGCAGAAGCAUCCAGAGAGGUUGGGAUCCUACUUCUUAAAUGCCUUUGGAUCAAAGGAAGGCCUUGUGAAGCAGCUAGCAUGGGCAGUUGAACUGGAGGCUGAUACCCACAGGAUACUGGUCUGGCAUGUCGCGACAUGCUUAUGCGAGAUAGAUAUCUCUGCCGAAGUGAUAAAACGGAAGACUGUACGGCGUCAAAAUAGUAGGCUCUUGGCGAAGAAAUCAACAACUAAAGCGGAUGUGUGGCCACAUUACUUAACUGCUAGCAGCUUAUCAAACUACUGUGCAUACCUGCUUACCAUAGCAUUGGUGCCUGACAACGGCAUUGUUGUUACAAAGGUCUUGCAUGCGGUACGUUGUGAAACCUAUCAUGCUACUGGCCGCUCUGCAUCCCAGUCGUUGCGAGAUGUCUACGAUAAACUUAUGGAGAUUGCCAUGAAGCACUCUGAAGAGUCUGAGGAGGAAGUGGCCAAUGGAGUGGGUGAUGCAAUGGGUCAAGUAGCCCCUGAAAGUGCAGUAAUCCAUGAGGAAAUACUCAAUGUCCAGAUGGCUAAUGAUGAGGAAGAUCCUAAUACAGCGAGACGUGGUGAUGCCACUAACAGUUUCAUACCAGCUACCAAUAGGGAAGGUACUUUUGCCGGUGACGAUGACAUCCAUGAUUCCAUAAUACAGAUGGGGGCAAAGCUUGGGAAGCAGUUGAUAGAGGCUUAUGGAGAAGAUAAAGUAGGCCUAUGGAGGGAUCUAGCAGUGUUCUGGACAGGUUUCCUCCUCAACUUGGCAGCAUCAACCAGAGCAGCCAAGCAUAAGACACGGCUUGUUACAAAAGGGGAGCUCAUAACACACCUGUGGGUUUUGCUGUCUCAUGCUGGGUUUCUCGGAAACACCAGGCACGGGCAAACACUCUUAGACCCACAUGAUCUUGAUGAGAUCGACCCGCUCAGCUGA